GAUGAACGCUGGCGGCGUGCCUAAUACAUGCAAGUCGAGCGAACGGACGCGAAGCUUGCUUUUCUGAUGUUAGCGGCGGACGGGUGAGUAACACGUGGAUAACCUACCUAUAAGACUGGGAUAACUUCGUGAAACCGGAGCUAAUACCGGAUAAUAUUUUCAACCGCAUGGUUCAAAAGUGAAAGACGGUCUUGCUGUCACUUAUAGAUGGAUCCGCGCUGCAUUAGCUAGUUGGUAAGGUAACGGCUUACCAAGGCAACGAUGCAUAGCCGACCUGAGAGGGUGAUCGGCCACACUGGAACUGAGACACGGUCCAGACUCCUACGGGAGGCAGCAGUAGGGAAGCUUCCGCAAUGGGCGAAAGCCUGACGGAGCAACGCAGCGUGAGUGAUGAAGGUCUUCGGAUCGUAAAACUCUGUUAUUAGGGAAGAACAUAUGUGUAAGUAACUGUGCACAUCUUGACGGUACCUAAUCAGAAAGCAACGGCUAACUACGUG
This 497-nucleotide ribosomal RNA is filed under the name uncultured bacterium. RNAcentral describes it as "partial 16S ribosomal RNA". It matches the Rfam family "Bacterial small subunit ribosomal RNA", at positions 28 to 507 of the family's 1533-position model. The record is from RNAcentral.